AAAUUUUGGGUUCAUUUUGGAUGCAAAAGUGGAGCUCAAGAACAGUCUUCUACCUUUAAGUGGGAGUGUCGCUUCUCACGUGGUAGCAGUAAGAAAUCCUGACUCACAGAAAUGCAUUUUCAGAAGUUCAGGUGAGGCCCCGGGAUUUAGUUCAGUGGUUUCGCUGCCUGCUGCGCAAGUAAAAGGACCCAAGUUCGAUCUCCAGUAUCAAAAAAAAGAAGUUCAGGUGAAUUUCAUGAAGUCCCCUCAGGGCUAGUCUAUUACUGCUUUCAAUUCCCCCCUACUAUGCAGAUUUUCCCAAUCCCAACCCAAAGAUGGGACAACAGUCUCCAGUCCCUGGAACCAUAGACUUGUGAGAAUGCCUGUCCAGGAUUUCAGGUUCUCAGCUGCCUUUUCCAGAACCCACUGAUCCCUGAGUGAAAAUGGCCCUAAAUGUCAGGCUAACAUUCCUCAGUUCCUAUUUUCCUUUGAUGGUUGGCUUCACGAUAUUUUACUGCUAAAGGACCACUCUCAUGCCAUUAACCAGACUUUCUUUCUCUCUUUUCUUUUUUAAUCUGGUAUCCCAUAGGAGAACAAGUCCCCAUCAUUUCUUUUUCUAAUGCUGGGGAUGGAACUCAGGACCUCACACAUGCCAGACAAGUGAGUUCUCUAUCGCUGAGUUACAAUGC
Heterocephalus glaber (naked mole-rat) is the source of this 668-nucleotide long non-coding RNA. NCBI's taxonomy places the organism in Eukaryota, Metazoa, Chordata, Mammalia, Rodentia, Bathyergidae. The record is from Ensembl.